Herpailurus yagouaroundi (jaguarundi) is the source of this 2659-nucleotide long non-coding RNA. RefSeq lists it as uncharacterized. The record is from RefSeq and is a predicted model, not a curated record. Lineage: Eukaryota; Metazoa; Chordata; Mammalia; Carnivora; Felidae. The transcript is spliced from 3 exons.
UUUUACAUAUUUAUGUGAUUUUUUUUAUCACAGAUAGAAUCAUAUUUUAAAGUUAGCUUUUAAAAUUACAUAUAGUUUGCCUUUUUGUGUGUGACAUCACUUUGUGUCAUUACUAUAUUGUAACAGUAUAAAUUCAAGAUUGGUAAAAGAAUGUAGAUGUAGUCCUUUCCUUCAAAGAUUGUGUUUGAUAGGCACUAGUCUGCAAAUGAGGAAAUGUUGAAGAGUAUUCUUAGUGAUUUUCAAAUCGUUGCAGACCAAACACUACUGCUAUGCCUUUGUAGUGCUUUUAAGCAGUUUGACUCUCUAUUUGAAUUUAUAGCAAGAAAUCAUUAACAAUAACAAAAACAAAAAAAGCCACUGGAUUUUCUUACAGUUCUACAAAUUUUUUUGUCAUGAUUUUUGGUGCGGCUCUUCCAACUAAAAUAAUGGUAUGGUGUUGUAUUUCUUUUUUUAGCAUAGACCAUUCCUAGUCACUUCGGGGGGAAAAGAUAUAUAAAUAUAUAUAAUUUGAUUAGUUAAUUAUUGGCCACCAUGCAUGUAUUAGAUUAUACCUGUUUCAGUAUAACACUGGGUACCUACAUCACACUGGAGAGCAUUUGUAUCUUCAGUCUUAUGCCAGAAUAGCACAAUUUUUAGAUGCCUUGCACCAAUUUUAUUUAAAGAUUUGCAUUUCUUAGUUACUAAAUAUCAACUUUCUAUACUCAAGAAUUGAGAAAAAAUAAUGUUUUGGAUUCAAAAUUACCCACCUAUAUGUGUAUGGAAAUUAUACUUGUACACGUUAAUGAUUUAUUUCCCAUCACUUAGGUAUACUUUUGAGUACCAUAAAUAUUUAUUCCUUAUUUAUUAUACAGACUAUAAACAUUUUAAACUUGACUACAGAGUGCAUUUUUAUUAUUUUCUGAGUAUAAAAUGGAUACAUGAUUAUUAUAGAAAAUUUAGAAAAUACUGAAAAGGAUAAAGAAGAGAAAAAAUUGUCUGCAACUUCACUAUCCAGAGAUAACACUGUUAAUAUUUUUUGUAUUUCCUCUCAGUCUUUGUCUAUGCUAUUUAUAUGUAUGAGUGUGUAUAUGUGUUUGUGUGUGUGCAAAAUAACAAAAUUGAGAUUAUAUUGACCAUAUAGUUGUAUAUCCUACUUUUUAUAACUUCCUAAGUACUCCCCCAUAUCUUGGAAAGUGUGAUUUUUAAAAAAUGGCUGCCUAAUAUUUUAUUGUAUGAAUAUAUACCAUAAUCGAACCAGUUCUCUCUUUGGGUAUCAGAUUGUUUCUAGUAUUUCACAAUUAUAAAUAAUAGUGGGAUGAACAUCUUUGUAUGUGAAAUUUGAACUGUAUAUUAGACUAGUUCUUAAGGACAUAUUCAUGGGAGUGGGAUAAUUGGUUUAGAUGGUGAGAACUUUUUAGGCACUUUAAAAUAUGGCCAAAUUACCCUUCAGAAAGUUUGUACCAAAUUAGCAAUACAUGACUACCCAUCAUACUUCCCCUUCUCCACUAUUGAUUAUUAUUUUCUAAAUUUUUGACAAUUUGUUAAGCAAAUAAUUGGUUGUACUUUUGAUCAUUCUAGUAAGAGUGGCUUUACCGUGAAUACAUUUUUUUCCUUCUGUGAUUUUGUAGUUGAUUGAUUAAUAGAAAACAUGAGAGGAUUGCUUAGCUUGAGUGGGUGACACCCCUGUGAAUAUGUUUACUGUGCAUUUGAAACUCUGGAAUAUUUCACCAUCACUCUACCCUUUCCUAGAAUAUGAGCGUAUCUUUCAUACUCAAUUAUGAAGUAGAAAGAGUUCCAAACUGGUAGUUGAGUACUGGAUUCUAGUUCAGUCUGUGCCACUGUUGAGUUCUCUUACCAUAAAUAUUUUGUGUUCUAUUGAGACAUUCUCAUCUGUAAAAUGUGGAAGUGAUCUUUUAAGGACAUUUUAGUAUCAAAGUAUUUUAGUGUUGGGACUAUUCUUUAGAGAUUCUGGUGUCACUUAAAUGUUAAAAAGCUACAUGAUUAAAUUAGAUUAGAAGUUUUAUCUAAUUUCAACUCUGCAUACAUAAAAAUGAAAGUCUUAACACAAAAGGGAAAUUAAUUUGCAUAAUUCAAUACAGUUACUAUUACCUAAAUAAUAAGCUUUUCUACUUUAAGUGCCUUAAAAGUGUUUUGUAUUUGAAAUCUAAAAUGUAAAGGAAAUUAUUUUGUAGUUCUGUACAGUUUCUUCUUUAUUAUGUACUUGUGAGUUAUUUGCAGCAACUUUUUUUUUUAACCGUAGAUUGCACAGAGCAGUAUAUUCAUGGAUUCUUCACUAUUCUACUAGUGAGGCGUUGGGAAAUGUAUGUUAAAGAUUAGCUCAGUGAGCAGCCAGUGAUCUCAGAGCUCCAGAGGAAAUGAAAAACACUUCUUACUCUCAAAAAGGCAAGGUAUCCUUAGAUCAUCCAAUUACAUGGCACAAGACUGGAAUCAGAUAUCAUUAGAGAGAGUUUGCCAGCUGGGAAAAGAUACGAACGACCCCACAGCAUCAGUGACUACAGUGUGUUCUCAUAAAACUGGUGCUCUAAAAACAGCUACAUUUUACUGAGAGAAUUAACCACAAAUUGAGGCUAGUUUUUACAACGCCACAAGUGGGGCUGUAUUAAUUAUCUAUAAAGAUGAUUCUGAAGUGGUUCUCUGCUCUCAAAUUCCAAAGGAAGCA